CUUUCCAGUGGUUUAGUUGGUAGAGUAUUGUGCCAACAAUGCAAAGGUCGUGAGUUCAAAUCCCAAGGAAAGA
Molecule: non-coding RNA, 73 nt
Organism: Danionella cerebrum
Lineage: Eukaryota; Metazoa; Chordata; Actinopteri; Cypriniformes; Danionidae
Source: the annotation of a GenBank genome assembly